AAAUAUAUAGAAGGUCAGGUUCUUCAGGGCAGGGACAAAGGCUGAAAGAACUACGGACAAAAAAAAAGAACCACAAGUUUUAAAAUUGCGGACAAAAUCUAGCAAGGGACCAUGCUGAUCAACAAGGUUGGUUUUAUCGCUUCUUAUAUCUUAUUUGUGUUCUUACCCAUAUUCAUGUUUAUCAACAAAUAUUGUUUUUAAUAAAUAGUGGUGAACAACGUUUGAAGAUGAUCCACUUAUUUCUAGGCUUUCCAUAUUUGUUCUCUAUUUGGGAUUGGGUUUUGUUUCCCCUUUUCAAUGUUCUCUAUAAUGAUGUUGAAUAUCGUUUUUUUGGAUUUUUUUUUUUAAAUCAUAGCUAUCAUAUAGGUCUGCCAAAUUAGUUCAAGCUACGAAAUCUCAUAAAGGAAAAAAUUGUUCGAACCUCGUCCUCACAACACACACAAAAGAAAAAGCGAAAGAAUAAAUUUUGCUUUACUCUUCUAAUUUGUUUUUUCCUUGCACUCCUUAGAGAUGGGAAGUGCACGGCUGAUGAUGUUAGAACAGAUGUAUUAAACCGAUAAAAUCUUGAAUUUGUGAGGAUGACGUUGAAAUGGCCUGGGUAUGGUAUGUAUCAAAGAGUUUGUUCCAAGGAGAGAUCCAACUUAAUGAAGGAGAGUGGUGUUAACCAACAAUUUGCAUGGAGACUGUAAAAGAGUGUAGGAAAAUUAGCAGUAAUACAGAUUCCAGGUUCAGUAUCAUUCAUAAUGCUGGUUCCUUUUUUUUUUUGGUUUCUAAACAGAUAUUGGAUAAUAGAGGAUGUCCAAUUGAUUUUUCUGACUCAGAAAUCUCCCUCUCUCUCUUAAAGUGACACAGUUAACAUGUGCUUUUCUGACAUAUGCGGCAGACAAAGAAGGGAGCAUCAAAAAGCUCUUAACCAGCUGAUUAGUAUUUUUGAGAGAGGUUUCUGAGUUACUAAUUCCAUUAUAGUACGAGGAUAUAUUGUGAAUAACAGGACAUUAUUGUAAAAUUUCAAGACCUCAUCCAUACAUGAGUUAAUAUUUAGUGUUGAAUGGACAUGGAUGCAGCAGUCAAAUUUUAAACAUGCAUCAGUGUCUUGCUCAGCUGGAGGGAAAAAGGAGAUUAGGAGAUGUUGGAAAAUAUACUUCAAUUUUACUAUAAUUUUGUAAAUUGUGUUUUUCUAAUAUCUAAAAUAUACCAUGUAGUAAAAUAUACUUCAAUAUUUGAGAUGUUGGAAAAUAUACUUCAAUUGCACUCUAAUUUUGUAAAUGGUGUUUUUCUAAUAUCUAAAAUAUACUAUGUAGUAAAAGAUAAUGCCCGCUAGGUGUCAUCUUCUAUAUAAAACUAAAUGCUUCUUUCUCCUUAAGUGUUAACUUACUAUUGAUUGUUUAAUUAAUGAUGUCAAUCUUGAUCUCAAAUAUUUAAAUAAUUUUGACUUUCUUGAUGUGUAAUUUAAAGUUGUCAUGAUGAUAAACUUUGGCUACUCCAGUAGAUCCCAAGAAGUGGUCUCAACUCUCAGAACAAUCAUGAUGAAGAGGCUGUGUAUUAAUUAAUGAUAAAAUUAAAUCUAGUUGGAAUUUAUGAAUGUCAAGAAUAAAGAGUUGCACUUGCAAAGAAGGUAAUGUAAUAUCUUCUAAAUGCUUUCUAUUUGAUGAAAAGCUAAAUGCUUCCAUUUACAUAAAACUUUAGCAUCAUUUCAAUAUCUACCAGUUACCACCUUAGCGAAAAUCAAAAGACUACUCCCCAUUUUGUUAUGUUGAGUCAACCUAUCCAAUCACAUCUAAUGAGUACUUGCCAAUAUAUGUUCAAUUCUUCAAGUCAAAUGUCAUAGUCCAUACUGACUGUUAUUAUCUGCAAAUAUAUGCUAUAUGACAUCAAAAAUAUGAUAGUUUUGAAUUUUACCAUAUUCCCCUUUAGAUUCAAUCUAUCGACUUUUCAAAAUGAAUGUGUCCUUAUUUUCAUAAAAUUAUCAAUGUUUAAAAUAAAAAUCAGGUAAAUGUACAAGUGCCUAAUCUUUUUGCAGGAAAGUACAAUUUUUGGAGGAAAAACAAGGUAGCAUAUUAGUCUCUUCCUAUAUUUUCUUUCCUAUCGUGGUCCCUUGAUUUAAUCAUCUUUCUCUAAUCAUAAAACAAUUGAAAAAUUCUACAUCAAUUUACACUUAGAUUUUAAAUUAUUUAUUGUUGAUUAUUAAAUAUAGAGUCUUCCAUUCAUUUAUGGUAACAGUUUCCUUUCGUGACAUAAUAAUCCAUUGUGUAAUAUUAUUUCUUAUUCAAAUAUUUUCAUUUGCCAUAAUUUAUAUAUAAUGUUACGUAAAGUUUCUUAUUGGCUUUCUCUUAUCCUUAACCAUUGUGUCCAGUUGCUGGUAGAUCUAUAUGUUGAUCAACUUCAAUGACUAUACGUUGAUCAACUAAAUCUUACCAUCCGUGAAAGCCAACUUCAUUUGGAGAUAGAAGUGAAUCCUUGAAUCUUACAGACUACUUAGACUUGAUGAUCAACUACAUAACAUGUGGUUAGUAUCAUCUUCAGAACAAUAAUUUUUGGAGCAAUCUAUCAAUCUAGCAGUCAGGUAAAGAGAUAUUAUGACCCAGCCUUGUUUUACAAUACAAGACCAUUCAAAAGAUGGCAAAAUAUAUAGUGGAUGUCUCUUCAACUAUCCAACUUCUUAAAUUCCUUGUGCUCUGAUGCAAUGACAAAGGGCCUUUACUUAGCAGAAGCAGAAGAAGUGCCUAGUACAGAUGCAAUGCCUUGCUUUGUCUUUCCAACAUUUUCUCCUUAAGUAACAUGACAUUGGGAUACAACAUGCUUCCUAAGCAUGUGCAGCUAGUGUCUCUCACAACUGGUUACUUCACCAUUGCAUCUUUCAAUCAAUUUGAGAACUCAUGUUUCAUCUUAACAGCUUAUCAGGGAACAUGGUAACUAGUAACACAUACCAACAAUAUUAUUCAUUUAAAUUGAAAUGAAUUACCAAUUCUUUUCAACAUAGUCAAUGACUGUGUUGCCCAUCAUUAGAUGCUGGAAAAGUGGUUAAAGCGAUCAAAAUUUAACUUUGUUUGAAAUCCUAAAAGAUGUCAAAUACAACCUCGAACAUGAGAAAGCUGGCUAGCACUAUUGUCAAAUUAUUAAGAUCCACAAUCCAGAUUAGAUGGCCUUCAUUGAGCUUUUGUGGGAUCCCUAGAUCUAGAGGAACUUGGAACAAACAAUUCAUAGUAGAUUGUGAGAUCUUGAUCGUGGAUCCUAAUGCACUUUGGAUCCUAGAACCCAGAUCUGUGUCAUGUUAUUACGUUUAAAGCAAUUAGAAUUCCAACAUUAUAAGGUGCCUUGGUUUGUUUGGCUGUUAAAAGAGCAUUUCAUUAUUAUUAAGCAUCCAAACCUAAAAUCAGUAAUUUAACUUUGAGCAUCCACUCAGUGAUUUAACAGUCCGCAACUAUUUACUCUUUCCUAAUGUUGCUUUUAGAAAAUAAGUUUGCUUUCACCUUAGAAAGUUUCCACUUGAAGGUUUUGUUUCAUUUGAAUGUCAUAAAUUAAAAAGUUAAAAUAAUAAGUACUUUACAUUCACCAUACCUUGAGAACAAGAAAGUGGCAUUUUGAUAAAGGGUACUGCCAUUGACAAGAAAAGCAUAAAAGGAUUUGCAGUGCUAAUUAGAAAUUGAUUGGUUAGGAUUUGUUUGUAAUCAUUUCAAUAAGUUGGCUUAAUUAUGUAUUUUACUAUUAUACUAAAUGCAAAUUGGACUUCUAACAUUGCCAACUGAUACUUUUGCCAUCGAAAAAAAUGCAUAAAAUCCUAGGAGGCAAGACAUGAUUUGUCAUGAUCAGUUUAGAUUCAUCUUAUUUCUCUUAAUUUUUAAUGUUUCCUGAUCGUGGAUUUUGUGUCUAUUUAAUGUUUCUGUUUCAAGUAUUUAGUUAAGUUUAUAUUAAAGGAUCAUGUGGCUGAUGUAUGUAGUAAUCUUUGUCAUGCAUGUGUAUAUGCCAUUCUCAAAUAUCAUUGGAUUAUAUGCGAGCAAUGUGCCAGCAAUGUGCCAGCAAAAAAUGCAUUGCCUUAUUGCAUCCUUGUGACACACUUGAGAAGCUAUAUGGUUUGCCAAGGUAUGUGACUACUCCAAACAGAUGCUGCACAAAAUCUACCUAAUCUACGAGUAUUUUAUUGGAUUAACUAGUCUUGCUCAUGAAUCUUUGUAAAAGUUAUCAUUCGAGAGCAGUAUAAAACAAUAUCAGCAUCUUAAGAUAGAUGAGGCUUGUUGAAGUCUUAAGAACCCUUUGAAGUUUCAGUAUAUACAGCUCAAAUCAAGUGAAGAGAACCUCAAGAAAAUUCAUGCCAGUUUCCCUCAACUCCCCAACCAUUAGUCUUGUAGGAACAUUCUUGAUUUUGAAGAAAGCAAGGAUAACCUUUUGGACUUUUAGCCAACCUAAAUAUAAAAAUUUGAUCUUCCUGAUAACAUGACCUUGUUGAAUCCUGACACCGAAUGACAGAAUUUGAUAUACUGAUUCAUGGCUGAGUUAUGCCUUCUAUUCUUAUGCUUGGUAGAAGCAAUCCAUUUUUUGUAAGAUUGGGUUCUGUUAACUGAUUGGGGUCAUGAUUGAUAGCAACAUCUUUUCAAGUUGCAGUGCUAUACAAUGUGCCAUCUGCUUGACAAUGCAAUCAAAUUCUUAGAUCAUUAUGAGUCUAUUUUGCCUUAGAACCAUAGACUAUGUGGAACAUUGCUGGUUGAGAUAUACCAUUCUAUGCUAAUAUAGGCACUAGACGCUAGGUUUGCGCCAAUUGGUACUAAGCCAAGAGGGGAUUGGACCCUUCUUUUAUAAUAUGAAGAGUGUGGCAUGACAAGGCAUAACACAUGCCAUCAGCGGACAGGUGUUUUCCAUGCCAUUGGAACCUAAGUCAUUGCCUAAGAUUCUGCUGAUGACUCAAUAUCGAAUAUUUGCAGCCCUUUUUUUUAGUCAUAUUUUCCAUCUACUUUAUAAUCCUACUCUACAGAAGAACUCAUGUUAUUGACAUUUCUGCUUGGAUCAACAUGAAUCUUUAACACCCAUGAAUUGUGUCAUGUGUAAGAAGAAAAAGAAAUUGUUGGAUACUUAACAUACCUCCUAUUAAACUCGCCACAACUAUUUUACAAGGAUUCGGGUAGUGUCUAAAAUGCGGGUGAAUUUUCAAGAAAUUCUUCUUUGUGGAUGGUGUAUUCUUGUAUUGUACGAUGGCCAUGAUGAAGUAUCAGGUACAGGUACGAGAAGGUAAAUCAUGGUUAGUAUAACACAACCACCUAGUAGGAUAACAUGAAACAAAUCCUCAGCAUAUUCCAUAAUGACCUAGUAGGUAUAUAUGACAAACGCAGACCAUUCUGGUUGAAUUGCUUGAGCAACCCUGGGCCCACUUACGGUCAAACUCAAUUCCUAACAUAGGCCAAACUUAGGCUUGAUGGUUUAUGAAGGCAAUGGAAAUUCAGCAAGGGUGCCAAAGGCAUGUACAACAAUGAUUUCUAUCUAAGGUAACAAUUGAUAUAGGAUAAUAUGUCAAGACAACUAAUAGCUAAGAGCUAAAAGGAAAACAAAUUUGCGUAAGAGGCUCCUUGGUGAACCAUGUUAUUAUUGGGGUGGCAAAGAGGAGGGAAAGUGGAGGAGGAUAGAUAGUGAGAAGGAGACAGGAAUCAAGAGAAAAGGGGAGAGUGCAUUAAGGAUAAUGGUUUUCAUGUAGAAAAUAUAUAAAUAUUUUAAUCACAUCAAUAUAUUUGUAUGUACUGGAUAACAAAUUAGUUAACGACAUGUAAUUAAAAUUUCAAACUUCAAGCCAUGCUUGUUAUUGGGCUGAAGGCAGUCCAUAUCAAGUCUGAACCUUUUUUGGGAGUUUGAGCCUAGCUCAGCCUUUAAGUUCAAAUAUCCUUGAACAAAAUGGUGGUUCAAGAGGCCUGACAUCUUAAUCCCAUUUCCAAAUUCAAACUAAAUUAGAUGGCCAUACAUCUUAAAGAUGGAAAUAACCAAACAGUUAAUAUCACCCACACAAAAUGACAUUCUACAUUUGAACUGUUUCUCUCUUUUGCUUUUGUUCCUUUUUCAAAAUUAAUCUUCUUGGUACAUUCUUACGUGGAAACAUUUUAUUUUUAUGCAGUGUAAAAUCUAUCCUAAGAAUUGAUCUUCCUAUACUUUCUGCAUCUAACCAGAACCACAUCCUUUUGGUCCCUUGGUUGGAUCAAAACUACUUUAAAACCACAAGCUCAUAUAACCCAUCCAAACCCUAAUAUUAUAUUUUAAUCCAUGUGAUAUCCUGAAAUUCAAUAUUAUUGCUACCAUCAUUUGCUUCCUUCAUAUCAAAGUCGUAAGAUCCCUUAAUGACUGAAAUUAUGACUCGUAUCAUCCUCAAAGCAAUGUUUGAUAUGAAAUGUGAUAAUAUCUGUCCUUUGAGGGAGGUGUAUUCAUAUAUUUGAUGAUUGUUAGAUAUGAUCACAUGAAUGUUCAUACUUGUAAAAGAAGUUGCGAAAAUGAUGCAGUUUUAAAAUAGUUAUUUUCCAUAUGACCUAUUGGGGAUGGCCUAUAAUGUGUGGAAGGAAUUGAAGGAUUUGAAAAACCAGGGUUCAGGCCAAGAAAUCACCCUGCUGUCCUAUUACAUAAAAUAGGGCCAAAGGUGAUAUUUGGUCCAAAGGUGUCAAGAUGGUUAGAAUUUUUCUGUUUUAGGUCUUAGAUGAGGUACAGGUCUGUAACAACAAGUUUAUUCAAAAACUUCUCAGUUCGUAUUGGUCUGUAGUGUUCCUUUAACAGAAACUCAGAUCACAAUAUAUACAUAUGCACACACAUAUACAUAUAUGUAUACACACACAAAAGAUAGAACCAGAAGAGAGAGAUACAGAGAGAGAGAGAGAGAGGCUGAACCGAGCCUAAGGAAAUUCAUUAGAAUUGUGCCUUAAAGUAAAAUAUAUCUUAGGUUCUAUCCUCUUUCCUCCUUAUUGUUUUCUUCCAUUUUUCCAGCUUGUCCUUCUAUUCUAUAGUUCUCUUCCCCUCCUUUUCUUCUUUUCUGCAUGUAUUACAACAUCAGUAACCAAUAGCUAGAGCUAGCAGACACUAUUAUCAGUGGUAAAAUAUGCUCACUUUCUACAAGUCCUUUUCUAAAAUUUUUCUAAUUAAUGUCUCUUCUUUUUUCAGUGUCCAACUUGAGCUUUAACUAGACCAUUUGUCUAGCCUUGACCCUCUAUUUGGUACAAAUGAUAGAUUGGAGGAAGCAUGGAUAUAAGAGGAAGGAUGGAUAAGGAAGGAUAUGUUUGGUGCAAUAUGGAAGGAUGGAUGGAAAUGAUUUUCUUCCUUGUUUGGUAUAGGAAGACUGAAAGAAAAGAUGAUGAUAUUUAUAUGAUAUUUUUACUAAAAUAUCUUUUGAUACAAAUAUUAUUAUUAUCAAUUAUAAAACUUAUCUAUACUAAAGAAGUAGAGCAAUGUAUAAACUUAUAAUUUUUAUAAUUAUAAUUAUAUAAAUAUUAAAUAAUAUUUAAUUUUAAUUUAAUUUAAUAAAUAAUUUUCUAAAUUAGUUAUAUAUGAAUUAAUUUAUUUAUAUAUUGAUUAUAUAAAUAACUAAUUAGUUUAUAAUUUUAUUUAAAUAGUUAAUUGAUUUUGUACAAAUAGUAAAUAUAUAUACAAAAGUAGAAGAUAAUUCUAAUUAUUUACUUAUAAUUAUAGAAGUUAUGUACAAAAAUUAAAAUAAUUAAUAAUAAAAUUAUAUAGAAUAGGAUUAAUAGUAUAGAUGAAAUAAAAAAUAUAUAAAUAAAAUGAAUGAAAAGGUGAAGAAAUGUUAUAGUUUUAUCAAAAGAGUAAUGAAGAAAAAUUUUAUCAACAUAGAAACCUACCCUUCAUAUGCUCCAUCUAUCUUUCUUUGCAUCCUUCCAAAAUGAGAGGAUGCAAGUUAGUAGGCUUAGGUGGAUAGGCAAUCUCUCUUUUCAUCCAUCCUUCCAAAAAUUUUUUUAAACUAAAUGAUGGAUGGAGGCCAUCCAUCCUUCCUCUCAUGACCCUAACUAAUCAUAGGGUAAGGGCAUACAUUUGGACUUGAGCAACGAUUUGGAAGUAUAUAUUCCUAUGGAUUUGAAGGAUCUAACAUUUAGGAAUGCACCAGCUCCCUCACCCAAUACACCCACCUGAGUUCCACAUAAUGUCGUGUGAUUAGAACCCUUGGACCCCUAUCAAGCAGAUGAUAACUUGGCCUAACAUCCUUCACUCGAUCUCCCCAACCCUUUGAAACCUAAAGUCCAACCCGUUUCCUUUCCUAAUCCAAUACUUUGAUGUAGAGACCCUCUUUUCACAUAAUAAUUCUAUUUGGUGCAAGGUAGCUUCCUAAUUUUGUUGGGCCUCUAAAAUUGUUGUUGUCUAAAAUAUUUUAUAAUAUAUACUUCUUUGCAAAUAUUAUUUCUUUAGUUUGUUCUAACAUGUUGAUGGAGUACCUAAAAAGUAGAUCAUUCUCAAGGGAGAAAUUACAGGGUUCUUUAUUAUGCAUAUACUUGUACAGUCAGCUAGUUGCUUGUUGAAUAGAUUCAGAAACGAAGACUGCAAAUCAGAUUUUUCUUCUAACCUUUCACCUUGUCCAUUUUCCUAAAUCAGAUAUCUUGUUUUCUUAUUAAAAGUCAAAUAGAAAUUUACACUUCUCUCAAAUGAGAACAAGAGAAUGAUACUUGUAACCCUACACAAGUAUUGAGUCAUGAACAAGAUCAUAUAUAAAAAAAUGUAUCAUAGUUUAAUGCCACUAGUGAGAUAGCAAAAAGCUUUUGCUACUAAAACAAAUAUACCUGCCACUUUGGCCUGCUAAUAUGCAGAGAAUCCAUAUUGAGCAAGUCAUUAAGAUCAUCGAGCUCUAUACAAGCAUCUGUUAUUGCAUCAGCCAAGCCUCUGUCAUCAUCAGCAUUGAAGAAACACCCUCUUUUUUUAGCGUCAUGCACUAACCUUCCCCAAAUUGACUCACUGUUAGUUAGAGUUGGGCCAUUUCCUAGAAUCCAUAAACAGUGCCUGCCAUAGAAUUGCAACAGUUACAUAUUAAAAGAUCAACUUAAAUAAAUGUUCUAAAAUAAACUGAGUGGAAGCAAACAACAUUGAAGUCUGAUUUGAAGGGAAAAUUAACAUACUUGGCCCUUGUAAGAGCCACAUUUGUCCGCUGAGAGUUAGACAAGAAGCCCACUGAACCACUUUUAUUGGACCUUACUGUAGAAAUAAUUAUAAUAUCUUCUUCACCACCUUGAAACCCAUCAAUGGUCUUCACGUUCACAUGGAAGUCUUCAUACCUAUCAUAUGUGUAUCCUAGUUUUUCUUGAAUUGCAACUACUUGUGCCUUGUAUGGCGAUAUGACGCCUACACUAAUUUUCUGCCCAGAAGUAAGAGAAGCUGCAACAAAUUCAACAAAAGUAAAAAUUGAUAACCUUAAAAUAAAACAUAAAAGAAAUAAUUGUAUCUCUGAACAUAGAAGAUUUGGGAAAAAGUUACAAACACUGUUGAAAACUGGUUCAACAAGAAAAAGAAAAUUCAAGGUAAUCCAAAUGCGUGAUAUUUAUACAAUUUAUGCUUUAAUUAUUAAAGCAGCAUCAAUGUCUUGGCACUAUAAACUCUAUGGCCUGUAUAUGAUUGCUUUUUGUAUGUCUCCACACCGAAGUUUUUGUUAAGUGAGAACUCAUAGGAUAGAGGCAAGGACCAGAUAUGAUUGUGUAUUAGGAAUUCGAGGAAUGAUCUCUGAUAACAAUUCAUUACGUCACAUUCCAAAAUUUGCUUCUUUAGUUAAGUGGUAUCAGGACAUCCUUUAUGACCAAUUGGCAUUAUUGGAUCACCAAAACAUGACCACAAUACAUAUAAUAGUAUUAUGACCUUGACCACAUUCAAUGAAGCUCAUGGCCUUUAAGAGUACUUAAGUAGUUCGGUCUGCAUGCAAUAUUGAAAGGAUCAUAAAUUUUAGAUAUUUGUGGUGCUUUUCAUAUGAACUUUUAUGUUUGUUAGGCUGUAUUGGUUUUUUCAUCCUCUUAUAUUCUUUUAUUUAAUGUACUAUGUCUUUACAUUUAACUUACAUAUUUGUUUUAGAAAAACAUGUUACAUGCUCAAGUCACUUAGUGACUUACCUGAGUGGAGUAGUUAGGAGAAAGGUCUGCAAAGACAUCCUAAACCACCUGUACUGAGGCAUGUUGUAUCAUAUCAAUGUGGAAUUAGGAAGGUUCUUUGGAUUAGUAAGGUAUAUGAAUAGAACAGGUCCAAACCCUUCCAAAUCGAGUGAAACAAACUUGCACCACCCAGUGCCAACACAUACCUUUUGGUUUUGGAGGGUGUCAUGGUUGGACGUGAGAAAAAAGGUCAUGAACUUGCAUCAGUAUGGAAUGUGUACCAUAUUCAAACAAAUUUGUAAGGUACCAGUACCAUACCUGAUAAGUUAUGCCGACCUUGGUUAGUAGUUGAGAGAGUCCAUGUCAUUGGUUUUCUAAUCUUGUUUUCACAUUUAGAGCCUGUUUGGCAACAUCCUACCAUAUUCGGCAGGAUAGAUGAAGGAAGAGCACUAUGGUGGGCGUGGUUGGGGGUGGGGGCUGGUGAAGAAUGUAGUAGUAGAAAGGGAGAAAGAGUGCACAGGGGGUCCAGGACAUGAUUGCCACAAGAAGGAAGAAAAGGCCUCUCACAGUAUCGAUUUUUGUCUUGCAGGGAGUGGGACCUAUGGCCUCCCUGCACUCUUCCUCUCCUCACACGCUAGGUUACUUCAUUCCUCUCUCCAUCCUAUCCUACCAGAACUUGCUGGGUCUGGCAGCAUCUACCCAAACAGGCCCUAGUCUUAUACAGGACAAUUUUGUGUGUUAGAUGGGCUUUGUUUACAAUGAAUACUUCAAUUGUUGGUCAGCAUUCUAGUUGUGAUUGCUCCCAGUCAUGAGAGUACCUGGCUAACAAACCCAGUACAAGUUAGCUUUGUGAGUUGUCAGCCACUAUGAGCAGCAUUUUUUCUAUUUGAUCUCCUUUUUGAUUGUUGUGUAUUUUCAAUAGGUAAGAAGAAUGAGUUGCAUCAAUUCUGUUAUUCCCCAGUCUGACUUUUCUUUUUUAGAAUAUAUUUGUCCUUACCUUAAACUCUCAGUUUCUUGCGAUUGCCACAUCUUUUCUUGUUUAAGCUGCUUUAUUAUGCUUACGGAAGAAUCAUGUAGAUUAUAUUCCGGAUAUUCUAUGAUAUGAAGAAUCAUGCAGAUUAUAUUUUGAAUAUUCUAUGAUAUGAAGAAUCAUGCAGAUUAUAUUCUGAAAAUUAUAUAUAUCUAUUGGAUACUCUAUGAUAUCUAGAAUCAUGCAGAUUAUAUUCUGAAGAUUAUGCCGAUAUUAUGCCAAUCCUUGAUAUCUCUUGAUAUCUCCUUCUUUUUGUAUUCUCUUGUGUAUAUAGUCAUAAUUCUACCUUAGAUUCAUUAUAUCUCUUCUCUAUAAAUUGUACUCUACUGUAUCAUCAAGAAUUCAUUGAAAUCAAAUAUAGAAAUAAACAAUCAUUUUUCAUGUCUUUUAUGGUAUCAGAGCAGGACGUUAUUCUGCUCCUGUGGUCGCCCUAGUGUAGUCACUGCUCAUAUGCCGUUGCUGCCCAUACGCCGCUGCUUUCCUGUAUUUUUUCACCAUGUCUGACGUCUCCUCCCAAUCAACUCCAUCUACCAACCCAGGUCCUGCUGUCGUGACCCAUGCUCCUCGGAUCCCUUCUACUGCUGAAUUUCAUCCAAUCUAAAUUACCACCAUUCAACUCAAUGGUGAUAACUUCUUACGCUAGUCUCAAUCGGUACACAUGUACAUUCGAGGAAGAGGCAAAAUUGGCUACAUGACAGGAGAUACACCGGCUCCGAACAGUGCAGAUCCGACCUACUCAACCUGGGAUGCUGAAAACUCAAUGGUAAUGACUUGGCUUGUGAAUUCAAUGGACGAGGAUAUUAGUUCCAAUUACAUGUGUUAUCAGAAUGCUUAAGAACUGUGGGAUAAUGUUAUCCAAAUGUAUUCUGAUUUGGGUAAUCAAUCUCAAAUAUAUGAACUUACUCUGAAACUUGGAGAAGUCCAGCAAGGAAGCGACACUGUCACUAAAUACUUCAAUUCUCUGAAAUGAAUAUGGCAAGAUCUGGAUCUGUUCAAUGAUUAUGAGCGGAAGUCUCUUGACGAUUGCAAACACAAUCAGAAAAUUAUGGAGGCUAAUCGAGUCUUAAAAUUUUUUAUUGGUCUUAAUGUCGAAUUUGAUGAGGUUCGAGGAAGGAUUAUUGGACGAAUACUCUGCCUUCACUUAAUGAAGUUUUUUUAGAGGUUCGUUGGGAGGAAAAUCGCAGAUCAGUAAUGCUCGGAAAAAAGAAUAAUGGCAUGAGUGGUCUGACUGAGAACUUCACGUUGGUUGCUGCUGAAGCCAAUGCUAGUAGACGGAGUGUCCCUGAUCAGCACAAGCACGAUGAGAAGCCUCAGGUAUGGUGUGAUCAUUGUAACAGACCACAUCAUACUCGAAAAACUUGCUGGUUGCUUCAUAGAAAAUCAGCCAAUUGAAAAUCAAAAUCUCGACGAUCACAAAACACUGCCACUGUAGCUGACUUGGGUCCACUCAACAAAGAGCAGAUUGAUCAACUUCUAAAACUACUAAAGGCUAAUCCAUCAUCAUCUGGUACACCUAAUUGUUCUUUGACCCAUUCAGGUAGAAAUUCCUUGGCCCUUUCAAGUACUUUGAAUUCCGCUCUAUGAAUCAUUGAUUCGGGGGCUUCUAAUCAUAUGACCAGUUUGUCUAAUCUAUUUGUUUUAUAUACUCCUUGUUCUAGUAUUGAAAAAGUACGAAUAGCAGAUGAUAGUCUUUCAUCUAUUGCAGACAAAGGUCUAAUCAAAAUAUUUGAAAAUAUUAGUCUUAAAGCAGUACUUCAUGUCCCUUAACUUGCUUGCAACCUGUGAUCUGUCAGUAAAUUUUUGGAGAACUCUAACUGCUGUGUUACCUUCUGUGGCUCCUAUUGUACAUUUCAGGACCGGAUUUUGGGGAAGAUGAUUGGCAAUGCUAGAGAGAUAAACGGACUGUACUAUUUCAAUGAGAAUUUGUUCGGUAAUAAAAAAGCUUAAGGGCUGAGUAGUACUUGUUCAAUUUCUAUUUCUGACUAAAUAAUGCAAUGGCACUUUAGACUAGGCCACCUAGUUUUUCUUAUUUAAGAUGCUUAUUUCCUAAAUUGUUUAAAGGAAUAGAUUAUUCUAUGUUUCAAUGUAAAAGUUGCCAUUUAUCUAAAGAUCAUCGUGUUAAAUUUGUUUCAAAAUCUUAUAGUCCUUCCAAACCAUUUUACUUAAUUCAGAGUGAUGUUUGGGGACCGUCAAAAGUUACCACUUUAUCUAGAAAAAGGUGGUUCGUAACUUUUAUUGAUGAUCACUCUAGGUUGUGUUGGAUUUACUUACUAAGCAAAAAAUCUGAAGUGAAAAGAUUUUUCAAAGAGUUCUAUUAUAUAAUCGAAAUCUAGUUUAAUUCAAACAUUUGCAUUGUUUGAUCAGACAACAAAACUGAGUAUUUUAAUGAGUAUUUAGGGAAAUUUUUAAGAGAUAAAGGCAUUCUACAUCAAUCAACAUAUCAUGAUACUCUCCAACAAAAUAAUAUUGCUAAAAGAAAAAAUAGGCACUUACUUGAAGUUGCUAGGGCCCUCAUUUUUUCUAUAAAUAUUCUUAAAUACCUCUGGGAAGAUGCUGUUUUAACUGCCUCCUACUUGAUCAACAAAAUGCCAACUCGUGUUUUGAAAUUUAAAACCCCUUUACAUACUUUAAAGACAUCUUUUUUGAAUUUUCGGUUGUACUCUGAGUUGCCUUUAAAAAUAUUCGGAUGCAUUUGUUUUGUUCAUGUUUCACAAUUUUUUCGAUCCAAAUUGGAUUCCAAAGCUGAAAAAUAUGUUUUCAUUGGAUAUGCUCCAAAUAAAAAAAGGUAUAAGUGUUUUAAUCCACUAACAAAGAAGACUUAUGUCAGCAUGGAUGUAUCUUUUAUGGAAAAACAAUUCUAUUUCAAUAAAAAUCAUCUUUAGGGGGAGAAUAUUGAAGAAGAUAAUUUUUGAAAAAAUUUAAACCACUACCAAAUUUCAUUGAAACUCCAAUUCACUUUGAUAAAUAAAUCAAGGAAAUAACUGAUCCAAACAAUGAAGAAAAGGAUUUGUUUAGUCCACAGGUGUCGGGCAUGAUGGAAUUUGAAACAGGAGGAGAAUUACUGCACAUGGAUCUGAGUAAUCCGAAAUCUGAGCUUCUGGCUUAUACUAGAUGAAAGCCUUAGAGAAGUACUAUUGAUCCAAAUAUAUCUCCUACUACUGGUCAGUUAGCCCUCCUGAAUAAUGGUCCUCCUUUCGCUAAAGGUAAUUCUAAAUCUACUCUUGAGUUGUCUGACCUUGAUGUUCCAAUUGCCCUAAAAAAAGGAACAAGAUCUUGCACCAAUCAUCCUAUUGCCAAGUAUUUGUCUUAUCAAUAAUUGUCCAAUAACCAUAAAGCAUUUAUUUCAAAUAUUUCUAACCUGCAUGUACCAAGAUCUAUUUAGGAUGCCCUAGGUGAUCCGGAUUGAAAACUAGCAGUGGAGGAGAUGAAUGCUCUUGAAAAGAAUGAGACUUGGGAGAUUGUAGAACUACCAAGAGGCAAAACAAUGGUGGAAUGCAAGUGGAUCUUUACUGUAAAGUGCAAGGCAGAUGAAAGCAUUGAAAGAUACAAAGUCAGACUUGUUGCCAAGAGGUUCACUCAAACUUAUGAUAUUGACUAUCAGGAGAUCUUCACCCCAGUUGCAAAAAUAAACUCAAUCCGAGUUCUUCUUUCUUUGACGGUAAACUCUAAUUGGUCUCUAUACCAACUUGACGUAAAAAAUAUCUUCCUAAAUGGAGACUUGGAGGAAGAAAUAUUUAUGGAUCUACCAUUUGAUUUUGAGGACUUCGGAACAAACAAGGUAUGUAGACUGAAAAAGUCUUUGUAUGGACUCAAACAGUCACUUAGAGCGUGGUUCGAGAGGUUUAGGAAGGCAGUAAAAAGCUACGGUUAUAUCCAAAGUCAAGCUGACCAUACAUUGUUCUUCAAGCACUCGAAAAUUGGUAAACUAGCUAUUUUGAUUGUGUAUAUAGAUGAUAUAAUAAUGACUGAUGAUGAUAGUGCCGAAAUUGUAGAACUUCAGCGAAAACUUGUACAUGAGUUUGAGAUCAAAGACUUGGAGGCUCUAAAGUACUUCCUUGGCAUGGAAUUUGUAAGAUCCAAGGAGGAAAUCUUUGUCAACCAACGAAAGUAUGUCUUGGACUUAGUGAAACUGGAAUGCUCGGAUGCAAGACAGUCAAAACUUCAAUAGAGCCCAACUUGAAGUUGCAACCUGUAGAAAUCGAGGUGGUAGAUGGAGAAAAGUACUAAAGACUUGUGGAUAAACUCAUCUAUUUAUCACAUACUCAUCCUAAUAUAGCUUUUGCAGUGAGUGUGGUAAGCCAGUUUAUGUAUUCAUCAGGAUCAAAACACUUUGAGGCUGCCUAUAGAAUCUUCAGGUACCUAAAGGGGAUACCUGGAAAGAGAUUGCUAUUUCGAAAUAGAGGAUAUUUGCAAAUAGAAGCUUACAUCGAUGCAGACUGGGCUGGAAGUGUAACUGAUAGAAGAUCAACUUCUGGCUAUUGUACUUUUAUGGGAGGUAAUCUUGUCACCUGACGAAGCAAGAAACAGAAUGUAGUAGUCAGAAGUAGUGCUGAAGCUGAGUUCUGUUCAGUAGCCCAUAGAAUUUGUGUAGUGAUAUGGAUAAAAAGAUUACUUGAAGAAUUAAAGUUUUUUUAUCCCCUCACCAAUAAAAGUCUAUUGUGAUAAUAAAGCUGCCAUCUCUAUUAUUGCUCACAACCCAAUCCUCCAUGACAGAACAAAACAUGUAGAAGUGGACAAACAUUUCAUCAAGGAGAAGCUUGACAAUGGAAUAAUUUGUAUGCCAUACAUUCCAACAAUUGAUCAAGUUGCUGAUAUUCUCACUAAGGGGUUGUAUAAGAAACAGUUCGAGGAUCUAGUAAGCAAACUUGCCAUGGAAGAUAUCUUCAAACCAGCUUGAGGGGGAGUAUGGAAGAAUCAUGCAGAUUAUAUUCUGGAUAUUUUAUGAUAUGAAGAAUCAUGCAGAUUAUAUUCCGAAUAUUCUAUGAUAUGAAGAAUUAUGCAGAUUAUAUUCUGAAGAUUAUGCAUAUCUAUUAGAUAUUCUGUGAUAUCAAGAAUCAUGCAGAUUAUAUUCUGAAAAUCAUGCUGAUAUUAUGUCGAUCCUUGAUAUCUCCUUCCUUUUGUAUUCUCUUGUGUACAUAGUCAUAAUUCUAGCCUAGAUUCAUUGUAUUCCUUCUCUAUAAAUUAUACUCUACUGUAUCAUCAAGAAUUCAUUGAAAUCAAAUACACAAAUAAACAAUCAUUUUUCACGUCUUUUAAUUUUUGAGGGAACUUACUGCACUAUGACUCAAAGUAAGAUCAGCUCUUAAAUCUCUCUGGACUCUUUGGAGUAGUGAAAAUAUCAGCAAAAUUCAUGUGGUUAGGAUCGAUGUGUUAUUACUAAUUGUUUAUGCAUCUGGAAAGAAAAGAACUCGAGGAUUUUUUUCUUUCUGUAGAAAUUUUCCUCAGUUGACUCUAUCCUAUGUUUGGCACUUCACCUGUCCGAAGAUUGCUUCGCCCUGAAUGGUUCUAGUGCGUGAAUUGGUUUUCUUUCUGUUUGGGAGGAGCUAGCUGCCCUCAUAUGCACCAUGUCUGCUCCCAGAUCUCUUUCCUCCCUAUUGCUCCUUUUCUACUGUAUGCUUCCUUUUCUUUUGUCCUUCAUCACUUGUAAAUUUCCUCACUAUUUUUCUUAAUCUUUAAUUAAUCAGGUGGGCUUGUAGACACCAGACGAAGAGGUGGUUUAUCAAAAUUUUAAGAAUCAAUAUAUUUCUAAACCAUAUCAGAUAGAUCUCUCACCCCUUUCCCUCAAAAAGAUAGAUCUCUCACCCCUCCUCCUGCUACCAUUGGGCUUCCUUUCUGAACCUUCAUGAGAAAAGUGCUUCAAAAGCACAUGUUCAAGCAUGAGAUGCCGAGAAUUAAUCUACAGUUACAAGAAUUACUAUCUUACUGAUUAUUGAUUAAUCCAAAGUUUAUGGAUAUGGUUAUAAAGGACAAAUCUUCUACUUUCGGUCAACUGCUAUGAACCUUUAAUACUCAGAACCAUAUCAGAUUUGUGUUUUCAAGCACGUUAAUAGAAUGUAUACAGUCCGUUUUUAAUAUGUUUCAUAUAUGAAGUUUUAUAAAAGUGUAUUUGCAUCAGACCAAAAAUUCUUCUUUAACAAUCAUUGGAGAUAAACAUGAACUACUGUGAGCAGUGACUUUUAGGUUAAAAGGAAUGGGAAAUUAUAUGUAUGUUGCAAAAAACAUACCUUUGAAUAGGUCCUUCACAAUAUGCAAAACCGCAGCUACCUCAAUCAUAUUUUUCCAUCUCUUUCCAAUAUUAUCUGUAGCUUCUUUUCCACGUUCAAUAUUUAUAAAUGAAUAGGAUCCAUAAAUUGCUCCGUGUAGAUAAUGCUUUUCAUAGCUCUUACAGAUGACGUUUGGGCCAUCCAAAAUUUUAUUAUCAUAGAAGUUUGAAUUUGGAAAUUUGCUUAUGGAAGGAUGCAUUCGGUAUUGCACAUCAAGAAGGUGCUUUUUUUGCCCUAGUGAACAAAGUCUCUCGAAAAGGCUUCUUCCAAAUCCAGCAUUCUCAGAAACCUACAUAGUAAUGUUAAAGAUAAGAGGUGUAACAUUUGGUAAGUAAAAAACAGAAAGACCAACUGAUACAAAGAGCCAAACAGACUUUGCUUUUAACCAUGGCAGGAAGCUGGUAUUCAUCACCAAUAAGAACAGCAUGCUGUACGCCUAGUAACUGUAGAGGUAUUAAUGAUUCACAUUCUUUCAGCUGUGCAGCCUCAUCGACAACCAACAUCUCUAGUGGACUCUUUAUCUCCAUGCCAUGCAGCUUAAAAGAACUAGAAGCGGUGCUGAAUAAAAGGGUUGCUCUCUGCAAACAAAACUCUUCGAUUGAACGUUUGUCAAUAAAAGCUGGGACAUGAAGAUGUUCUGAAAGGUACUUUAAUAUUAUAAGUAAGAAAUAUCUUGUCUGAUGUAGCUCAAAUGUUGUAGUUUUACUGGCUUGUAUGUUGUUCAGCAAAUUCACAGGUAAAGAGAUCUCACAAUCUUCAUGGUAUGUCAGUUCAAAUAGAUCUUCCAGCUUUUUGUCGGAGACAGCUUCUGAGAAUAACAGAUGUCCAAAUGUUUCUAUAACCUUCGGCACAAGGUUCAUGCAUUUAAAGAUGUCCUCAGAAGUGGAAUCACUUGGCAGAUCCUCAGACAAUGUUCUGAUACAUUGACUAAGGUUUUUUGAAAGAAUACUAAAUCGGCUUAUAACAUACUCACUAAGUGUCAUCUUUAUUCUCUCAGUUUCUUCUUCUUCUUCUUCUCCUUCUUCAGUUUCAAUAUAUAUUUUGUACUGAGAAACAGCAUUCUCCAAAAAAAAUGUCAAUGAAUUUAUGCAUUGCCUCCAACCUGUUAGUGGUGCUAAACACUUCAAAAGCCUCUUGACACGAUUAUCCAAAAAUACCAUAGAGAGAUCAUCACCAAUAUUCAUCCGAUCCUUGUUUCCGAUUAGCACUAGAUCUCCCAAUGAAUAGUCAUCAUCAUCUGAAAACUCUCUGAUUAACCUAAGGAGGCGUGAUGCAACUUCCAAAAUUGCUGUAUUUGUAGGAGCACAUGUAAGUGUUCUGCAUCUUUUAGCUAGCAGAGUCCAUAAAAGAGUACUGAUUGUUUUUGUUUUCCCAGUCCCAGGAGGUCCCCAUAUGAGUUUAAUGGAGUUAUGCCUCCGCUGUCUUGCUGAAAUACAAUCUAACACAGCAGUCAACUGUGAAUCAUUUAGCUUGAACUGUUGUAAACUAUCACGUACCUUCAUAUCAUGAAAAUAGGAAGAUUCUUCAGAUGAAGUUGAACUACAAUCUCCUGCCAUCUGUUGUGGGAAAAAAUUAAAGCAUCAACUAACAAGUUCGGGCAAAACGUCAGUGUAGGACUAGGAACUUCAUGAUAAUGUCAAGUCUUUUGUAAAUAAAAAGCAUUGUGGUGUCGCUGUGAACAACUGCCAGAUGAGCAAUGCAGCACCCUUUCUUCUUGAUCAACCACUUAAUGUUGACUUAUAUUUCAUGUUGCUACGCAAUAUAUGAGUUUUUUUUUUUUUUUAUAAUAGUUGAUCCUUAAGCAUGAGAUUGAUGCACAUAAAGGUUUCCUUCUGUAAUAUCAUCAAUAUGAGUUGAACUGAACACUUCAUGGGCAAAGACAAGAUAAUAUUAGCUAAAUGUACAUAUUAACAUGAAAUCAAAAUCAGUUUCCUACAUACCGAAGAGUCAUAACGUAGGAUCUUCUUGAUGAUGUUAGUGUUUCUUUGCUUCGCGAUUUCUUGAUCAAGUGACUUCCAAAUGCGAUUAUAUGUCGUCAUAUUUAGUAAGAAUACUGCAAAAAGUGAAUCUCUAUGCUUCUGCAUUCCACUGUAUUUUUUAACUUCCUUGUUUUGUGAUGUUCUAAUAAUGAAGUGAUUGGGUGGAAGGCCUUCAUCAUCUCCACCUUUAACUACUGAAGCAAUAAUGUAAGGUGUUCUAUUCCGAGUCAAGUCAGAUAUAUGCUUUGGUCUUGUUUCAGAUAAAACAAAUAUAUCAGAUUGUUUUGGCUCAUAAGCUGCAUUGCCAUCUGCCGCCACAAUGCAGAAACCUAACUGUUUGUCUGACACAAUUUCUUCAACUGAUUCUAUUUCUAUCAAGGGAGCUUGACAAAUUGCCUCCAGAGCUGAGCACAGAUCAGCAUGUAUUUCUUCCAUCAAAGGAAAUAUGUAUGAGCCUAAAUAAUAAUCCACAGAUGCAAACUCUUUUGGAAUCUUCUGAACCUGUUAAAGAUGCAGAAUUAGUUGCUUUCAGAGAUCAUGAAAGGGAUUUUCUAAUAAUAAAGUUUUAUUAGUGAUGGUAAAUUCUCUGAGAAAAUAUUAGAAUAAAUUCAGGGUUGUUAGCUGCAGCGCUGAGCUGAAAAGUCAUUUGUGAAAACCAUGUCAUGAACAUGCAGUUAACGUGGAAACCUUUUCUUGAGUUUAAUUGGAAGAUUCUUUUAAAAAAAAAAAAAGCUGAAGAUGCAUUAUAUUUUUAAAAAUUAAGAGGCUAAAACAUAAUGAAAGAAAGGUUAAUGAUGUUAAAUGCUUCACAAACUUGGCCCACGUCAUUAGGUUUCAAUCCAGGUCCAGUUCAUCAAAAGAAAUUGAUUACAGCAUAAUGUUUUGAGUUUUCCUUGGCCUUUUUCUUUUCUUUUUUUUGAAGAAACCAGAAAAUAUAUUCAUAAGUCAAGGAAAUUAUCCUUGAGUUAGAGAUUACUGUUUAUUGACACGUGAUAUGAAUUUGCAUCAAUGUUGCGAUCUCUUUUCCUUUUGAAUUCUCAAGGAUUGUGAUUUCUUUCCUGCUCAAGACAUGUCAAGACUAGACGUUUCCAGAUAAGUUUUAUAUUAACUUCUACAUAUUUUUACGGAGAUUCAUUGAAGUAAGGUAAGCAAAAUGUAAUGAAAGGAAACACGAGACAAAAGGAAAAUAGGAGUAACAUGUAGGGCCAAAAUUUGUGGGGCUUACACUUCCAGGGGAAGAAGCACCAAGGCAAAAGGUAGUGAUACAGAGGCAUUUACGUAGAUUUAUUAGCAUUUAUAUAUUUUUUUUGGAUAAAUAAGUUUCUCUUGUUGGGUGUUUCUAUAGCAUUGCUAUUAAUACAUUUCUCUUAUUUUUUCUCUUAAAAUGACUUUUGUUGCAGCUUCAUUUCAUCUAUGAGCACAAUUGUGAUCUCUUUUAACCAGUAUGUGAGAGUAUGAGGUGAUAUCAUGGUCUGUGUUGGUACUGAAGGGCUUAUGAUUCUUUCAUUCAAUCUGAUUUCUCAAUUACAGAAGCAAUAGCUAGAGGAAAGAUAAAAAUCAUUACCUAGUGAAGAAAAGUAUUGAUGCUGAUAUGCCGCCAGAAUAAUCUUUUACCCUAAUUAUAAUCUUUCUGCGUUUUAUAUUGCUUCCUUUUAUUUACCUUUCCCCUUUUUGUAGUUACAUUGCUGUUAUAAUUGUUUUCACCAAGCUACUGUGAAACAUAAGAUUUUGUGCCCACUCUUUUGUUGUUCAUUCAAAGUAGCUUGGCACGGUUGGUUUUUACUGUUUUUCUUUCAAACUGGCAUCUGAAUGUCUUUUGCUUUUCCUUUAUCUUUUUUUUUUUUUAACAAGGAGAAAAGGA
This 21164-nucleotide long non-coding RNA is filed under the name Elaeis guineensis (African oil palm). RNAcentral's name for it is "long non-coding RNA (EGUI_LNC062094)". The record is from RNAcentral. Lineage: Eukaryota; Viridiplantae; Streptophyta; Magnoliopsida; Arecales; Arecaceae.